GCUGUUGUAGCUCAGGGGUAGAGCAUGGCGCGAGGCGCGCCAAGGUCGAGGGUUCAAUUCCCUUCAACAUUG
This 72-nucleotide transfer RNA is filed under the name Cyclobacteriaceae bacterium. RNAcentral describes it as "tRNA-Pro". It matches the Rfam family "tRNA". Rfam says of the family: Transfer RNA (tRNA) molecules are approximately 80 nucleotides in length. Their secondary structure includes four short double-helical elements and three loops (D, anti-codon, and T loops). Further hydrogen bonds mediate the characteristic L-shaped molecular structure. tRNAs have two regions of fundamental functional importance: the anti-codon, which is responsible for specific mRNA codon recognition, and the 3' end, to which the tRNAs corresponding amino acid is attached (by aminoacyl-tRNA synthetases). tRNAs cope with the degeneracy of the genetic code in two manners: having more than one tRNA (with a specific anti-codon) for a particular amino acid; and 'wobble' base-pairing, i.e. permitting non-standard base-pairing at the 3rd anti-codon position. The record is from RNAcentral. Lineage: Bacteria; Pseudomonadati; Bacteroidota; Cytophagia; Cytophagales; Cyclobacteriaceae.